GCCAGGUGCGGUGGCGCACACCUGUAAUCCCAGCAGCUCAGGAGGCUAAAACAGGAGGAUCCGAGAGUUCAAAGCCAGCCUCAGCAACUUAGCGAGGCACUAAGCAACUCAGUGAGACCUUGUCUCUA
Molecule: small RNA, 128 nt
Filed under: Marmota monax (woodchuck)
Lineage: Eukaryota; Metazoa; Chordata; Mammalia; Rodentia; Sciuridae
Source: RNAcentral